GAUGAAGAACGUAGUGAAAUGCGAUAAGUAAUGUGAAUUGCAGAAUUCAGUGAAUCAUCGAAUCUUUGAACGCACAUUGCGCCCGCCAGUAUUCUGGCGGGCAUGCCUGUUCGAGCGUCAUUUCCACCAUCAGGCCCCCGGGCCUGUGUUGGGGACCUGCGGCUGCCCGCAGGCCCCGAAAUUCAGUGGCGGUCGCGCCGUAGCAACCGAGCGUAGUAACUAAAACGUCUCGCUCUGGCUCGCUGGGCGCGCUCCGGCCGUAAAACACCCCCCCUUUUCGCAAAGGUUGACCUCGGAUCAGGUAGGAAUACCCGCUGAACUUAAGCAUAUCAAUAAGCGGAGGA
This 344-nucleotide unclassified non-coding RNA is filed under the name soil metagenome. RNAcentral's name for it is "partial contains 5.8S ribosomal RNA, internal transcribed spacer 2, and large subunit ribosomal RNA". The stretch from base 1 to 120 matches the Rfam family "5.8S ribosomal RNA", at positions 35 to 154 of the family's 154-position model. The record is from RNAcentral.